GCAUAACGCGAAGAACCUUACCUGGCCUUGACAUGCACGGAAGCUUCCAGAGAUGGGAGUGUGCCUUCGGGAACCGUGACACAGGUGCUGCAUGGCUGUCGUCAGCUCGUGUCGUGAGAUGUUGGGUUAAGUCCCGCAACGAGCGCAACCCUUGUCCUUAGUUGCCAGCACGUAAUGGUGGGAACUCUAGGGAGACCGCCGAUGACAAAUCGGAGGAAGGUGGGAUGACGUCAAGUCAUCAUGGCCCUUACGGCCAGGGCUACACACGUACUACAAUGGCAGGUACAGAGGGAAGCCAACCAGCAAUGGGGAGCCAAUCCCAGAAAGCCUGUCUUAGUCCGGAUUGUAGGCUGCAACUCGCCUACAUGAAGCCGGAGUUGCUAGUAACCGCCGGUCAGCAUACGGCGGUGAAUAUGUUCCCGGGUCUUGUACACACCG
This 438-nucleotide ribosomal RNA is filed under the name uncultured bacterium. RNAcentral's name for it is "bacterial SSU rRNA". It matches the Rfam family "Bacterial small subunit ribosomal RNA", at positions 954 to 1392 of the family's 1533-position model. The record is from RNAcentral.